Molecule: ribosomal RNA, 585 nt
Filed under: uncultured bacterium
Lineage: Bacteria
Description: bacterial SSU rRNA
Rfam family: Bacterial small subunit ribosomal RNA
Source: RNAcentral
UCCUACGGGAGGCAGCAGUGGGGAAUAUUGGACAAUGGGGGCAACCCUGAUCCAGCCAUGCCGCGUGUGUAGAAGGCCCUCGGGUUGUAAAGCACUUUCAGCGAGGAAGAACGCCUAGCGGUUAAUACCCGCUAGGAAAGACAUCACCCGCAGAAGAAGCACCGGCUAACUCCGUGCCAGCAGCCGCGGUAAUACGGAGGGUGCAAGCGUUAAUCGGAAUUACUGGGCGUAAAGCGCGCGUAGGUGGCUUGAUAAGCCGGUUGUGAAAGCCCCGGGCUCAACCUGGGAACGGCAUCCGGAACUGUCAAGCUAGAGUGCAGGAGAGGAAGGUAGAAUUCCCGGUGUAGCGGUGAAAUGCGUAGAGAUCGGGAGGAAUACCAGUGGCGAAGGCGGCCUUCUGGACUGACACUGACACUGAGGUGCGAAAGCGUGGGUAGCAAACAGGAUUAGAUACCCUGGUAGUCCACGCCGUAAACGAUGUCGACCAGCCGUUGGGUGCCUAGCGCACUUUGUGGCGAAGUUAACGCGAUAAGUCGACCGCCUGGGGAGUACGGCCGCAAGGUUAAAACUCAAAUGAAUUGACGG